UGGGCUGUUAGCUCAGUUGGCAGAGCAACUGACUUGUAAUCAGUAGGUUGCGGGUUCAACUCCAGCCACCAGCUUAACUA
Molecule: transfer RNA, 80 nt
Filed under: Fischerella sp.
Lineage: Bacteria; Bacillati; Cyanobacteriota; Cyanophyceae; Nostocales; Hapalosiphonaceae
Description: tRNA-Thr
Rfam family: tRNA (bases 4-74)
About the family: Transfer RNA (tRNA) molecules are approximately 80 nucleotides in length. Their secondary structure includes four short double-helical elements and three loops (D, anti-codon, and T loops).
Source: RNAcentral